This is a non-coding RNA of Colletotrichum sublineola, 127 nucleotides long. The record is from Rfam. Lineage: Eukaryota; Fungi; Ascomycota; Sordariomycetes; Glomerellales; Glomerellaceae.
ACAUACGACCAUACCCACUGGAGAACUCGGGAUCCCGUCCGCUCUCCCAUAGAUAAGCCAGUGAGGGCCCUCUUGCCUACAGGGUCUGCGAUGACCAGCGAGAAAAGCAGGCCUUCCGUUAUGUGGC